Long non-coding RNA from Bufo gargarizans (Asiatic toad), 326 nucleotides. RefSeq lists it as uncharacterized. The record is from RefSeq and is a predicted model, not a curated record. NCBI's taxonomy places the organism in Eukaryota, Metazoa, Chordata, Amphibia, Anura, Bufonidae. The transcript is spliced from 3 exons.
CGGAAAUUACCCAGGAACUUUUUGCCCCAAUCUGGGAGAAGACACAAGGCCCAAGUAGAAGGAAUUUAAUUGAGGAGGUCAAGAAUCGUUGGCGGAGCUGCAGGGACCAGUUCCGCAAAGAGAUGAAACAUCGUGGGCGGAGCGGGUCUGGUCCCCCCAAGAAAAGGCCCUAUCUUUUCAGGGAGCAGCUGAUGUUCCUGCGCGAUGUUAUGGAGCUGCGUCCAACUGAAGACAACCUAGAGGAGGAAGCUGAUGAGUCGGGCCCACACCAAUCAGGUGCAUGUGAGGAGGACACCACAUCAGCCCAGCCUGAAAGUGGAGCUGGA